This 654-nucleotide ribosomal RNA is filed under the name uncultured archaeon. RNAcentral describes it as "bacterial SSU rRNA". It matches the Rfam family "Archaeal small subunit ribosomal RNA", at positions 508 to 1160 of the family's 1478-position model. The record is from RNAcentral.
GCCUAAAGCGUCCGUAGCCUGUUCUAUAAGUUUCCGGUUAAAUCCACUAGCUCAACUAGUGGGCUGCCGAAAAUACUGUAGAACUAGGGAGUGGGAGAGGUAGACGGUAUUCGGUAGGAAGGGGUAAAAUCCUUUGAUCUAUCGAGGACCACCUGUGGUGAAGGCGGUCUACCAGAACACGUUCGACGGUGAGGGAUGAAAGCUGGGGGAGCAAACCGGAUUAGAUACCCGGGUAGUCCCAGCCGUAAACGAUGCAGACUCGGUGAUGCCCUGGCUUGUGGCCAGUGCAGUGCCGCAGGGAAGCCGUUAAGUUUGCCGCCUGGGAAGUACGUACGCAAGUAUGAAACUUAAAGGAAUUGGCGGGGGAGCACCACAAGGGGUGAAGCCUGCGGUUCAAUUGGAGUCAACGCCAGAAAUCUUACCCGAAGAGACAGCAGAAUGAAGGUCAAGCUGGAGACUUUACCAGACAAGCUGAGAAGUGGUGCAUGGCCGUCGCCAGCUCGUGCCGUGAGAUGUCCUGUUAAGUCAGGUAACGAGCGAGAUCCCUGCCUCUAGUUGCCACCAUUACUCUCAGGAGUAGUGGGGCGAAUUAGCGGGACCGCCGCAGUUAAUGCGGAGGAAGGAAGGGGCCACGGCAGGUCAGUAUGCCCCGAA